GUUUUUCUCUUUUGGGGGCGAGACAGGGAGGAAGUCAAUGGUGGGGGUGGCGGUCGACGAUUUCCACCAGAAAUUUGAGUGGUGGGCUCGGCGGCUUCCGGGAAGCCUCCAGUGUUGGGUUUCAGUUUGAUACACUCCAUUGAAUUUUACCCUCUUCUCGCAGAUCUAGGGCUUCACAAAUUUCAUUCACUUCACUAAUUUCUGAAAUUCCUGUUUCUCGUUCCCUAAUUUCAUUUCACUUGUCUUACACAGAUGAUUCUGGUACUUGUUUGAAUCCUCAAACAUUUAGAAAUUCCCAAAUGUUUUAUCAAUGAUUCUCUUCUCUUUAUUCACACGUAAGCAGCCAAAUUAUGAUUUAGCGUUCUUGAUUUUGUGUUGUGCACAGAUCCUAAAUGCAGAAUUUUGCAAUGUGAGCUUCUGUACAGGAGAACUGAGACUUACAGAUCCUAAAUGCCGAACUACUUUUGUCUGAAAAAAAGCAAACAUUAAUUAAAUAUAUUAAGAAAUUCAAAUUAAAAAAUAAUCAGAUUAUUAAAAAAUAAAUUUGACCUCAAAAUUGUUUGAAAAUGGUCUGAACUUGCCUAAUCCUUCUCUAUGGAAGAGAUCAUGUGAAAGCAUACAUAAUUAACCUAUUCCUGUUCGAGAUAGGCUGUUGUCUUAUUUGUUCAUGUAUAUGUUUAUCCAAAUGCGUAUUGUUUGGUUUGUAAAAAGUUUCAUUGGUGAAGGUAGUAUUACUUUUUUGUUGUCAUCAUCAGAUAGGCUCUGCUUCGUUAGGUACAGUCACAAUGAUAAUCUGCAGCUUCUGGAACGGUUAUCAAGUUUUCUGGACAUACAUAUAUGUAAAUGCUUCCACAGAUGCUAAUAUUGUGUCGUGAUUUUAGUGUAAUUUUGCACCAUGGUGAAGAAGAUAUAUAUCUACUCAACCGAGGAAGCGAAGAGGCUGUCGACCCAAGAAUAAAGCUUACCCAUGGACAGAGGUACAAAUCUGGGAAGGUCCUGUCUGAUGCAGCUGUUGGCACUGAAGAACAGUCUUCAACCGUUGGAUCUGGUUACUGACGGAGUUUUGCUAGCAAUAAGGUUGAAAGUGCUCCGGAUAAUGGAGAUGAAACCAACAGUUGACCAGCAAUUUUGUUCCAUGCCGGUGAGGCAAAAGUGGUGGUUUUUCGUUCACGUAAUAAUAAUUUUCUCCGGGAGAGUGGUGCUACUACGAUAAGAAUCCGUUAUAGUAUUGUUUGUUUUUGUCAGGAGAAUCUCAUGAUGUUUUGAUUGUUUGGAUCUGAGUUAGGUCUCUGUGUGUACAACAAGUUGUUUAUGUAUAUAUGAUACCUCUUUGUUUCCCCUUGAAAUCUUCUGUUUUGUUUAAUCUUCUUUCUCUACUGUUUGUGAUGACAACUCUCACUGUUGCCCUCUGUACUGAACCCAAAACUUUUCAUUUUGAACUAAUGCAAGGUUGGGUGGUAUAAUGAAAGCCGAACCGGCCCAAGAAAACCCCCACUUUAUUCAACUGCAACGUGUCUUCAUCCUAACAGCAAUGUGCAAUACAUAGUGUGCACGUUAGACAUUUCCCGAAUCUAUACGGCAUAUAAAAGAGAAUUUUAACGGUUAUUCUUUUUCGCCAUUUUUCUCUCUUUUUCUACCAACUCCCCCCCCUGUUUGAUAUUUUCUAAAUAUUGUUCAAUUUUAUUCGCGAAAAAUAUAUUCAACAAUCAUAUUAAAUUAAAAAAAUCAUGUCGAGAUUAAUAUGGUAUGAAUAUCAUUACAAAUAAUUUUUAAACAAAUAAGUUAUGAAAAAUUUAAAAUAUUUUACUUUCUCUCUUUAUUAAAAUUUUAAAACAUUUUAUUUUAUCUCUCAUACCUCUUAAUAUUGAACAUAUGUAUUUUUUUUCUUCUUCUUUAAUAUAAAUUUUAUUUCAAUUUCUAUUUUUGUUAGAUAUCAAUUUUUGAAUUUAUUUUAUAUAUUGUAUGCAUAUAUAUAUAUAUCUAUAUAGAGGAGAGAUCAAAUGAAAACAUUCAUUUAUGUGUUAACUAGGAACCAAUCUGAGCCCUUCANAGCCAUCAGACCGUAAUCCAUCUGAUGUCCUCAGUCAGUUGUGAUCCUGAUAAGUCAUGCCUUAGAUCCCCUCAUGAUGCACACAGCAGGCAACUCCGCAGCUGCACAAGGUAAUUAUUACUUGUACUGCCUUAUUUCAAUGUCACUAGAUGAUAUAAACAGUAAAAUUGAACUAAAUCACCAAUAUCAGUUGAAUUUCUAUUUUCUAAACCAGCUUUAUGGAGGUCUGGGCCUGGGCCGAUUGGGCCGCCGGGCAGGUUUUCAUAUAUUUUCUGAAUUCCUCUGGGAUCCUUAUUGAAUAUUCUCUCUACUGAAAAUAGAAUUGAUAGAGCGGCGGCGGGGUUGAAGGUUUAUGUGCACCGCCGGUUUCGGGCUGAGAAGAAUUAAUUUUAAUGUUCUGAAUUUUAGUUUUGAUUGCCGUUCUUUUAUUAUUCUUACGUAUCUUAUUAUUGUUCUUAUGUUUUAGUUGUGGGCUUAUGCUUUUGCAUGGGCCUGGAUAGGAGUAGGUUAUUAAUAUGUGUUCUACGCUAGAUUAGGGUUAGUCUCUUUUCUGUGUGAAUUUUACAGCCUAGCUGUAGCAGAGUAUCUCGCUCUGUGACCCACGUUUGGGUGUUCUCCUUCAGUUAAUUCCAGUAUUUUAUCUUCCUAACAUCUUAACUCUAUCAGCACGUCUUGGAUUUCUUUCUGAUUAUGCUUUUCUGCUCCUUUUGCUUAGCUAUGGUUACCAGGAGUAAGAUUUCAUUGUUUUAGAUAUGGUAUUGUAGUAAUUACUGUCUAGAAUGCUUCAGCUGUUGUUAGACAAGAACUUAUGAUUAACAAAUGCUUGCAUAGUAGAUCUGCUUUAAGAAAUGUUUAUGAUUAUAUUUUGAAGCGUAGACUGGGCUUUCUUUUCUUAAAUUAGAAAUGUCAGUUUUCUCUCUUUGGAAGACCCUCUACUGGAUUUAUGAAUGAUGUAUGAGAAUGAAUCUCUUAGGUUCACAUGCAAGGAAUUGCUGUUGGCAGAGCAGUAGACCUGACCAGGUUUGAUUGCUAUGAGGAUCUGCUCAAAAAAUUGGAAGGGAUGUUUGAAAUUACAGGGGAACUCUCUGAGUCAACAAAGAAAUGGCAAGUUGUCUACACAGAUGAUGAGGAUGACAUGAUGAUGGUUGGAGAUGAUCCAUGGCAGUUGAGUCAAAUUUACUUAAUUCUUUCACCUUUCUUUUUAUGUAUUGUUUACUAAGGUUGAGUUUACGUUUGUUGUAAAUUUAUCACAAGAAAAUGAGGGAUAAUUUUUUUUUUCUCCCUUUAAAUCCCUCCUCUCUUAUUUAUCGUCUUCUAUAAAAAGAAUUUAACACUUUCUUAUUCCUACAUUUCAUCCAAGGAGGAAUAAUAUUAUCAUGAGGUAUUGGUGUGAAUAAUAUUAUCCCUCCUUGAAAUGAAAAAGAAAGAGGAAUAAGAAAGGGUGAACUUCUUAUAGAAAAUGAGGGAUAAGAAAGGAGGGAUUUAAAGGGAGAUUUUUUUNAUCCUUCAUUUUCUUGUGAUAAAUUUACAACCAAAGUGAACGCACCCUAAAUCUCUUAUGGCUCUUUAUGUCUAGAUUUACUUAUAAGUUGUCUUAUGACCUCUUUUUUUAAUACUCCUUGUGUCCCAACGAAGGUGAGGCGUAUUCCUUUUCGGGCCGUUCCAACGAAGAUGAGCCGUUUCCUUUUUUGACAAAAAUUAGGCAAUUUAAAUCCCUAAUUAAGAAAACUAAUUGCACCGGUUAUUCUUUGUUAAUCUACUCUCUUCUCAAUUCUCACCGCCUCUCGUCAUUCUCUCGACUUUCUCUUCCCUCCGCCUCCUUUGUUUUUUAUUUCCGGCCUUCUAAUUCUUCUUCUCAAUUAGUUCUGACUCCUCCUCCUUGCUGACCAUUGCCUUUUGCAUCUUGUUCGAUCUGGUAUAUCGAGGCCGCUGCCGGUCACCGGAAAAGGCAAGGUAGAGCUGAGGGAUUUUGGGGUUUUUCUCUUUUGGGGGCGAGACAGGGAGGAAGUCAAUGGUGGGGGUGGCGGUCGACGAUUUCCACCGGAAAUUUGAGUGGUGGGCUCGGCGGCUUCCGGGAAGCCUCCAGUGUUGGGUUUCAGUUUGAUACACUCCAUUGAAUUUUACCAUCUUCUCGCAGAUCUAGGGCUUCACAAAUUUCAUUCACUUCACUAAUUUCUGAAAUUCCUGUUUCUCGUUCCCUAAUUUCAUUUCACUUGUCUUACACAGAUGAUUCUGGUACUUGUUUGAAUCCUCAAACAUUUAGAAAUUCCCAAAUGUUUUAUCAAUGAUUCUCUUCUCUUUAUUCACACGUAAGCAGCCAAAUUAUGAUUUUCCUAAAUGCAGAAUUUUGCAAUGUGAGCUUCUGUACAGGAGAACUGAGACUUACAGAUCCUAAAUGCCGAACUACUUUUGUCUGAAAAAAAAGCAAACAUUAAUUAAAUAUAUUAAGAAAUUCAAAUUAAAAAAUAAUCAGAUUAUUAAAAAAUAAAUUUGAACUCAAAAUUGUUUGAAAAUGGUCUGAACUUGCCUAAUCCUUCUCUAUGGAAGAGAUCAUGUGAAAGCAUACAUAAUUAACCUAUUCCUGUUCGAGAUAGGCUGUUGUCUUAUUUGUUCAUGUAUAUGUUUAUCCAAAUGCCUAUUGUUUGGUUUGUAAAAAGUUUACAUUGGUGAAGGUAGUAUUACUUUUUUGUUGUCAUCAUCAGAUAGGCUCUGCUUCGUUAGGUACAGUCACAAUGAUAAUCUGCAGCUUCUGGAACGGUUAUCAAGUUUUCUGGACAUACAUAUAUGUAAAUGCUUCCACAGAUGCUAAUAUUGUGUCGUGAUUUUAGUGAAUUUUGCACCAUGGUGAAGAAGAUAUAUAUCUACUCAACCGAGGAAGCGAAGAGGCUGUCGCCCAAGAUAAAGCUUCCCAUGGCAGAGGUCAAAUCUGGGAAGGUCCUGUCUGAUGCAGCUGUUGGCACUGAAGAACAGUCUUCAACCGUUGGAUCUGGUUACUGACGGAGUUUUGCUAAUGUUGGAGUUGCAAUAAGGUUGAAAGUGCUCCGGAUAAUGGAGAUGAAACCAACAGUUGACCAGCAAUUUUGUUCCAUGCCGGUGAGGCAAAAGUGGUGGUUUUUCGUUCACGUAAUAAUAAUUUUCUCCGGGAGAGUGGUGAUAAGAAUCCGUUAUAGUAUUGUUUGUUUUUGUCAGGAGAAUCUCAUGAUGUUUUGAUUGUUUGGAUCUGAGUUAGGUCUCUGUGUGUACAACAAGUUGUUUAUGUAUAUAUGAUACCUCUUUGUUUCCCCUUGAAAUCUUCUGUUUUGUUUAAUCUUCUUUCUCUACUGUUUGUGAUGACACUGAACCCAAAACUUUUCAUUUUGAACUAAUGCAAAGGUUGGGUGGUAUUCUAGUUAUGAAAGCCGAACCGGCCCAAGAAAACCCCCACUUUAUUCAACUGCAACGUGUCUUCAUCCUAACAGCAAUGUGCAAUACAUAGUGUGCACGUUAGACAUUUCCCGAAUCUAUACGGCAUAUAAAAGAGAAUUUUAACGGUUAUUCUUUUUCGCCAUUUUUCUCUCUUUUUCUACCAACUCCCCCCCCCCCCCCCUGUUGAUAUUUUCUAAACUAUUGUUCAAUUUUAUUCGCGAAAAUAUAUUCAACAAUCAUAUUAAAUUAAAAAAAUCAUGUCGAGAUUAAUAUGGUAUGAAAAUCAUUACAAAUAAUUUUUAAACAAAUAAGUUAUGAAAAAUUUAAAAUAUUUUACUUUCUCUCUUUAUUAAAAUUUUAAAACAUUUUAUUUUAUCUCUCAUACCUCUUAAUAUUGAACAUAUGAUUUUUUUUCUCUUCUUUAAUAUUAAUUUUAUUUCAAUUUCUAUUUUUGUUAGAUAUCAAUUUUUGAAUUUAUUUUAUAUAUUGUAUGCAUAUAUAUAUAUAUCUAUAUAGAGGAGAGAUCAAAUGAAAACAUUCAUUUAUGUGUUAACUAGGAACCAAUCUGAGCCCUUCAUUUUAAAAAAUCUAUGGAGAAGAUUAAUUGAUAAGACUUAAUAUCUAAUUAAAUGUUUUCUACGCAUUUUUUGUGGGAUCUUUCAAAUCAAUUAACCGUCCCUUAUUUAGUGGGAUCAUUUUAGUUUUAAUUGUGUAAAAUUAUUUUAAUAUUUAUCUAUUUCUCUCUCUCUCUAUUUAUUAUUUUUAUUUUCAAAAUAUCAGAGAGUUGUCGGUAUUAUAUUUUGGACGAGAUUGAAUUUUAAUAAAUUUGGUUAAAAUGCUUUUUAUGGUUAGUUAGGUGCUUAUUUUAACAUAAUUAAGUGCUUAUUUAAGUGUAUUCUGAUUGUGGUCAUGUGCUAAUUAAUUAAACUCUUGUAAUUAAUUAAAAAGGUUAAUAAUUAAAAUCAACAGAAGACGAAAAUAUUUAGCACUUAAUUUUGAUGUAAUUAGCAAUUAAAAUUAAGGUAAUUAGCACUUAUAUUAAUAUACAUAUAUAUAGAUGCUAGCAAUAACUUAAAAUAUUUCGACAAAUACUAACUUAAAAAUUCAUUACUAACUUUGUGGUGGGUCAUCUCCAUGUACCAUGCUCAUGUGUUUAAUAAGAUAUCUCCUCUUUCCCUCAAAAAAAAAAAAAAAAUUCAUUACGUAUAACAAAUAAAAUUAUUUUGUUGAUCUCACUAACUUAAAAAAUGUGAUCUUAAAAUUCACUAACUUUAAUUUUAUCCAAAUAUUUACACAUGCAAUACUAACAUUUUAAUAAAGUCCCAAGUGCGUGAAUAUUGUAGACAGCAAAUGGGGGUUGCCUUAGCAUUAUCAUUAUUAUUUUCUCUAUUUAAUGAAUUAAAAAAAAUCUGCUCAUUCUUGAGAGAUAGAGUGCAGAAAUGCCUGCAUAACCAUAGAAGAACAUAUUUGAUUUACAUAAAUAAGAUAUUAUAAAUUUACAAAUGUUAUUAAUUAAAAUCAAGAUAAUUAGAACUUAUUUAGUAUUGAAUUGUGAGGAAAUAAGCAAUUAGAAAUAAGGUAAUUAGCAAUAACCAAAUGAAUGUAUUUGUAUUUGGGAAGUAUUAAUUUGUAACAGCAAAUGAAAUGCUUAAUUAUACUAAAUCAUGUUGAAUUCGUAUAUAUUGCAUGUUAAAAUCAUGCAAGGAUUAGUUUGUAUUGAAUAUUAAAUAAUUUAUGUGAAUCCUAUAUAAAAUCUCAUGGCUAAAUUUGAAAGAUUUGAUUUGCUAAAAUCAAAUCCUUAUUGUUGACCGAUUUUAGCAAUUAAAAAUAAAAAUCCAAGCCAUUUACUAUUUAAUCUGUACCGUUCAAUUAAUGAAGAUCAAUGAUCUAAAAUGGUUCCUAGUUAACACAUAAGGGUUGGUUUCUAUUAUAACCCAUCCCUAUAUAUAUAUAUNUUUUCCUAAAUGCAGAAUUUUGCAAUGUGAGCUUCUGUACAGGAGAACUGAGACUUACAGAUCCUAAAUGCCGAACUACUUUUGUCUGAAAAAAAGCAAACAUUAAUUAAAUAUAUUAAGAAAUUCAAAUUAAAAAUAAUCAGAUUAUUAAAAAUAAAUUUGACCUCAAAAUUGUUUGAAAAUGGUCUGAACUUGCCUAAUCCUUCUCUAUGGAAGAGAUCAUGUGAAAGCAUACAUAAUUAACCUAUUCCUGUUCGAGAUAGGCUGUUGUCUUAUUUGUUCAUGUAUAUGUUUAUCCAAAUGCCUAUUGUUUGGUUUGUAAAAAGUUUGCAUUGGUGAAGGUAGUAUUACUUUUUUGUUGUCAUCAUCAGAUAGGCUCUGCUUCGUUAGGUACAGUCACAAUGAUAAUCUGCAGCUUCUGGAACGGUUAUCAAGUUUUCUGGACAUACAUAUAUGUAAAUGCUUCCACAGAUGCUAAUAUUGUGUCGUGAUUUUAGUGAAUUUUGCACCAUGG
This 7924-nucleotide long non-coding RNA is filed under the name Salvia miltiorrhiza (redroot sage). Its description in RNAcentral is "long non-coding RNA (SMIL_LNC007557)". The record is from RNAcentral. Lineage: Eukaryota; Viridiplantae; Streptophyta; Magnoliopsida; Lamiales; Lamiaceae.